RNAcentral lists this non-coding RNA (28 nucleotides) under Homo sapiens (human). The record is from RNAcentral. Lineage: Eukaryota; Metazoa; Chordata; Mammalia; Primates; Hominidae.
UGGAUUCUGCUUUCGGGGUCUUGAUGCA